UAGAAUGUGGUGUAAAGGAAACACGUGGAAUUCUUGAGUUCUUAAAUGUGGGUUCAACUCCUACUGUUCUAG
This 72-nucleotide transfer RNA is filed under the name Monodelphis domestica (gray short-tailed opossum). It matches the Rfam family "tRNA". From Rfam's summary of the family: Transfer RNA (tRNA) molecules are approximately 80 nucleotides in length. Their secondary structure includes four short double-helical elements and three loops (D, anti-codon, and T loops). Further hydrogen bonds mediate the characteristic L-shaped molecular structure. tRNAs have two regions of fundamental functional importance: the anti-codon, which is responsible for specific mRNA codon recognition, and the 3' end, to which the tRNAs corresponding amino acid is attached (by aminoacyl-tRNA synthetases). tRNAs cope with the degeneracy of the genetic code in two manners: having more than one tRNA (with a specific anti-codon) for a particular amino acid; and 'wobble' base-pairing, i.e. permitting non-standard base-pairing at the 3rd anti-codon position. Lineage: Eukaryota; Metazoa; Chordata; Mammalia; Didelphimorphia; Didelphidae. The record is from Rfam by way of RNAcentral.